This 65-nucleotide transfer RNA is filed under the name Gralliclava horrens. Its description in RNAcentral is "tRNA-Glu". It matches the Rfam family "tRNA". Rfam says of the family: Transfer RNA (tRNA) molecules are approximately 80 nucleotides in length. Their secondary structure includes four short double-helical elements and three loops (D, anti-codon, and T loops). Further hydrogen bonds mediate the characteristic L-shaped molecular structure. tRNAs have two regions of fundamental functional importance: the anti-codon, which is responsible for specific mRNA codon recognition, and the 3' end, to which the tRNAs corresponding amino acid is attached (by aminoacyl-tRNA synthetases). tRNAs cope with the degeneracy of the genetic code in two manners: having more than one tRNA (with a specific anti-codon) for a particular amino acid; and 'wobble' base-pairing, i.e. permitting non-standard base-pairing at the 3rd anti-codon position. The record is from RNAcentral. Lineage: Eukaryota; Metazoa; Arthropoda; Insecta; Hemiptera; Coreidae.
AUUUAUAUAGUUUAACUUAAAACACUUCAUUUUCAAUGAAGAAAUGAACUAAAGUUCUAUAAAUA